GUCCACGCCGUAAACGAUGUCUACUAGCCGUUGGGGGACUUGAUCUUUUAGUGGCGCAGCUAACGCGAUAAGUAGACCGCCUGGGGAGUACGGCCGCAAGGUUAAAACUCAAAUGAAUUGACGGGGGCCCGCACAAGCGGUGGAGCAUGUGGUUUAAUUCGAAGCAACGCGAAGAACCUUACCAACUCUUGACAUCCAGAGAACUUAGCAGAGAUGCUUUGGUGCCUUCGGGAACUCUGAGACAGGUGCUGCAUGGCU
Molecule: ribosomal RNA, 258 nt
Filed under: uncultured bacterium
Lineage: Bacteria
Description: partial 16S ribosomal RNA
Rfam family: Bacterial small subunit ribosomal RNA
Source: RNAcentral